RNAcentral lists this ribosomal RNA (465 nucleotides) under Vreelandella stevensii. RNAcentral's name for it is "partial 16S ribosomal RNA". It matches the Rfam family "Bacterial small subunit ribosomal RNA", at positions 338 to 795 of the family's 1533-position model. Lineage: Bacteria; Pseudomonadati; Pseudomonadota; Gammaproteobacteria; Oceanospirillales; Halomonadaceae. The record is from RNAcentral.
CCUACGGGAGGCAGCAGUGGGGAAUAUUGGACAAUGGGCGAAAGCCUGAUCCAGCCAUGCCGCGUGUGUGAAGAAGGCCUUCGGGUUGUAAAGCACUUUCAGUGGGGAAGAAAGCCUUGGGGCUAAUACCCUCGAGGAAGGACAUCACCCACAGAAGAAGCACCGGCUAACUCCGUGCCAGCAGCCGCGGUAAUACGGAGGGUGCGAGCGUUAAUCGGAAUUACUGGGCGUAAAGCGCGCGUAGGCGGUCUGAUAAGCCGGUUGUGAAAGCCCCGGGCUCAACCUGGGAACGGCAUCCGGAACUGUCAGGCUAGAGUGCAGGAGAGGAAGGUAGAAUUCCCGGUGUAGCGGUGAAAUGCGUAGAGAUCGGGAGGAAUACCAGUGGCGAAGGCGGCCUUCUGAACUGACACUGACGCUGAGGUGCGAAAGCGUGGGUAGCAAACAGGAUUAGAUACCCCGGUAGUC